AUUUUUCAAAAAUAUGUGCUUGCUUCGGGAAUGAUACAGAGAAGAUCGGCAUGGCCCUGGUGCAAGGGUGGUGCACAAAUUCGUGACGCGUUCCAUAAUUAU
This is a small nuclear RNA of Loxodonta africana (African savanna elephant), 102 nucleotides long. Lineage: Eukaryota; Metazoa; Chordata; Mammalia; Proboscidea; Elephantidae. The record is from Ensembl.